CGUCGUUGCGAAUGGGCGGAGAUUGUUCGAAUCUCUGGGCAGUGAAUUCAUUUCCGUUAGUAAACGUAAUUUCUGGGUUUGGAGUUUAGAUUGUUAUUACUAAAUUGCGGAAUCGAUCAGUGUGUAAAGGGUAUUUGUAGAGGAUUAUUCUUUAUAAUAUACUUUUUAACCGAACAAGUUUGCAGAGGGUGGUUUAGGUUCUAAGGAAUUAUCAAACUGAUUAAUUUGCGAAGUGUAGUUUAUAAAGCGCAGUUCUGAGUGGAAAAAUUCUAAAAUUCAUUAAUUUGUGGAGCACAGCGUAUAGAAUUUACGGAUACGGUUCCUAAAUGAAAAUAUUUUAGAAUUCAUCACUUUGCAGAGGCCAAUUACAUAUAUAAAAUUAUCAUAUAUAUCGUCAAAUAUAUAAAAUUUAUCUGAUUGUUUACGUUAAAUAUCGUUUUAUAUAAAAAUCUUGCGAUUAAUUAAUAUGUAUGCAGCUCGUGGGAUUCGAUUUUAAUUAAAAAGAAAUCCUGCAAUCGACUAGUUUGUAAACGGCAAUUCAUAGAGUUUACGCUACUUUAGCGAAACAAAUCCUGAAAUUCUUUGCUUACCAUUGUAAAGCUUUUUUUUAAAUGAAAAAUGUCGUGCAAUUAACCAGUUCGUAGAUGGCAGUUUAAAGACCUUAUGGGCCGUUUGUUUGACGUUUUGGUACGAAAUCGUAUAGCUACUGUACCUGUUAUGCAAUGGUACGGUUUUAUCGCGAGAACAUUCGCCAGGUUGGCGUAUCAGCAACGUGGAAAUGCUCACGGUAGUUCUGAAAUAUGAUCGACCCGCGCAACAAUUUACUCGCGAUAUUAUCUCACGGCAAAUAGGCUAGAAGACGUAGAGGUACUUCCCGUGAGUCAGGUGGCCGCUCGUAAAAUCUGAUACAUUGUGCGACCAGCCGUGGCGUAUUCGUCAUGUCGAGACACACCGAAGACACGCGAUCGACGAAACGAAAGGAUUGACCCCGUGGAACGUCCGUGACCGACCAUCUUCUUUUUCUCUGCCAGGCACCUACGACUCCAGCGUUCCACGAAGUAUCGAUUUAUGGGGAACGAAACGAAUCAUCGACGCGAUGAUUUCUCAUCGGCUAAAUUCAAACAACAUCGGAUCCAGCGCGUCUUUAAGGCGCUCAGUCGAUCCAUCGGCAAUUUUUCACGCGAUUCCAAUCCACGAGGGAAGCGCGUCUGGCUGACGACGCGGAGGCGGCCCAUGCGAGCCGGCCCGCACAAAGGCGCAUCCUCGCGAGGAAAUUUAUCGCGACGGGACGACGUUUCCCGUGAAAAGCGUCGAAGAAAGAAGAUAGAAAGGAGGCGAGGAGCGCGGAGAACGCAGCAAUCUGGUGAAUAGGCGCGCCUUCCAGAAGCGUCGCGAAUCAAUUCCCGGAUUGACUCUGCACCAGGUUGCCGCGCCGAUUUUUCAGCUUUCUCCAGGCGGAAAACUCGCACGUCUCGUAUCCAUGGCAUAUUUGCCUGGUUACUGAAUGGAAAAUGGAUCGACAAGAAUGCAAUAUCGGAACUCGCGAACAAUCGUUCGAUGUCAGGUAAUAGAGACGAUAUCGAUAUGCCAAGAAUUUUUGUUACCUUUGAUCGUUGAGCGAAGCCCUUCGUGUUUAAGGUAUUUAUUUAUUUAACGAUUAUUUAACGUGCUUUACUAUCAUUAUGGUUACUAUAGUGAUCGAUACUGGACUUGUCAUUGGCGAUGUGCAAGUUAAUUAAAGCAUUCGAUUUAAAGAAACGUUGAUGGAAAUUCUUUGAUACUUUUGAUAUCACUUUGAUCAAUCAUUUUGAUUUAAAGUGUCAGUUGCAUAUAACUUGAUAUAAAAUACUUGGCAAAAGUGUUCGUGUACCCUAUCUCAAUCAACAUAGAUCAUAUCUUAUUCUACAAAAAUACUCGAACAACUAAGAAGACAAAGUUUCGCCAAGUCUUAUUAUUUCAAAGUAUAUCUAGAUUACGUUAAUACUUUGACUGCCACGUUGGUCAUAUAUAACCGGCCACAGUUUCUCCUGUGAUGCCACGGUGGUCAUUGGUGACCAAAGCUCUUGAACUUCUCACAAUUGUAAAAAUUGUAUGAAAACUGACAAUUAGGGCGUUUUGAAUAUAACCGAUAAAUAGAAGAUACUUUGAAAUAAAAAGUGGCCCAUUGAACGAUUAAACAUUUUUAUUAAAACAUCAAUAAAAAAAAAGUGAGAACAAAUCUUAUAGCUAAUGGCGCACUGCAUUUGCAUCCAUACCUUUGAGGGAUAAUCUACGAAUAUUAUUAUAAAUACACCUUAGGAAAUAAUCGUAGAUGCUUAGAAGUGUGCACAUACCUUACUAUUAUAUAUAAAAUGAGCGAAUACUGUUCACUACUAUCUUCUACACGUUUCAACAAUAUAUUCUGCACGUUUUGCUUACGACGAAAUG
Long non-coding RNA from Bombus terrestris (buff-tailed bumblebee), 2427 nucleotides. RefSeq lists it as uncharacterized. The record is from RefSeq and is a predicted model, not a curated record. The transcript is spliced from 3 exons. NCBI's taxonomy places the organism in Eukaryota, Metazoa, Arthropoda, Insecta, Hymenoptera, Apidae.